CGCGCGAAGUGACUUUGCGCGACGAAUUAUUUUUCAUCGCGCAAAAUGUGGUCGCGCAAGACUUUGAGUGACGAGUUUCAAGUUUCGUCGCGCAAAAUGACUUUGAGCGACGAAUAAUUUUUCGUCGCGCAAAAUUUGGUCGCGU
This 145-nucleotide microRNA precursor is filed under the name Prunus persica (peach). RNAcentral's name for it is "miR6297a stem-loop (ppe-MIR6297a)". The stretch from base 2 to 108 matches the Rfam family "MIR6297 microRNA precursor family". Lineage: Eukaryota; Viridiplantae; Streptophyta; Magnoliopsida; Rosales; Rosaceae. The record is from miRBase by way of RNAcentral.